GAUGAACGCUGGCGGCGUGCCUAAUACAUGCAAGUCGAGCGAACAGAUGAGGAGCUUGCUCCUCUGACGUUAGCGGCGGACGGGUGAGUAACACGUGGAUAACCUACCUAUAAGACUGGGAUAACUUCGGGAAACCGGAGCUAAUACCGGAUAAUAUAUUGAACCGCAUGGUUCAAUAGUGAAAGACGGUUUUGCUGUCACUUAUAGAUGGAUCCGCGCCGCAUUAGCUAGUUGGUAAGGUAACGGCUUACCAAGGCAACGAUGCGUAGCCGACCUGAGAGGGUGAUCGGCCACACUGGAACUGAGACACGGUCCAGACUCCUACGGGAGGCAGCAGUAGGGAAUCUUCCGCAAUGGGCGAAAGCCUGGCGGAGCAACGCCGCGUGAGUGAUGAAGGUCUUCGGAUCGUAAAACUCUGUUAUUAGGGAAGAACAAAUGUGUAAGUAACUAUGCACGUCUUGACGGUACCUAAUCAGAAAGCCACGGCUAACCACGUG
Molecule: ribosomal RNA, 497 nt
Filed under: uncultured bacterium
Lineage: Bacteria
Description: partial 16S ribosomal RNA
Rfam family: Bacterial small subunit ribosomal RNA
Source: RNAcentral